This 497-nucleotide ribosomal RNA is filed under the name uncultured bacterium. RNAcentral's name for it is "partial 16S ribosomal RNA". It matches the Rfam family "Bacterial small subunit ribosomal RNA", at positions 28 to 507 of the family's 1533-position model. The record is from RNAcentral.
GAUGAACGCUGGCGGCGUGCCUAAUACAUGCAAGUCGAGCGAACGGACGAGAAGCUUGCUUCUCUGAUGUUAGCGGCGGACGGGUGAGUAACACGUGGAUAACCUACCUAUAAGACUGGGAUAACUUCGGGAAACCGGAGCUAAUACCGGAUAAUAUUUUGAACCGCAUGGUUCAAAAGUGAAAGACGGUCUUGCUGUCACUUAUAGAUGGAUCCGCGCUGCAUUAGCUAGUUGGUAAGGUAACGGCUUACCAAGGCAACGAUGCAUAGCCGACCUGAGAGGGUGAUCAGCCACACUGGAACUGAGACACGGUCCAGACUCCUACGGGAGGCAGCAGUAGGGAAUCUUACGCAAUGGGCGAAAGCCUGACGGAGCAACGCCGCGUGAGUGAUGAAGGUCUUCGGAUCGUAAAACUCUGUUAUUAGGGAAGAACAUAUGUGUAAGUAACUGUGCACAUCUUGACGGUACCUAAUCAGAAAGCCACGGCUAACUACGUG